RNAcentral lists this microRNA (23 nucleotides) under Homo sapiens (human). Its description in RNAcentral is "hsa-miR-6767-5p". Lineage: Eukaryota; Metazoa; Chordata; Mammalia; Primates; Hominidae. The record is from miRBase by way of RNAcentral.
UCGCAGACAGGGACACAUGGAGA